This is a small nucleolar RNA of Lactuca sativa (garden lettuce), 107 nucleotides long. Lineage: Eukaryota; Viridiplantae; Streptophyta; Magnoliopsida; Asterales; Asteraceae. The record is from RefSeq and is a predicted model, not a curated record.
AGAUCAUGUUGAGGACAAUUCCUUAGCAUUCCUCUGUAUCUCUCCCAAGCUUCAUACAACGACUCGCCAUCGUUCUGUUGGAAAUUUGCUAUCUUCUUAUUGAGUUU